UCUUGGGUUGUAAACCUCUUUUCUCAGGGAAGAAACCUGACGGUACCUGAGGAAUAAGCAUCGGCUAACUCCGUGCCAGCAGCCGCGGUAAUACGGAGGAUGCAAGCGUUAUCCGGAAUGAUUGGGCGUAAAGCGUCCGCAGGUGGCAGUGUAAGUCUGCUGUCAAAGAGUCUGGCUCAACCAGAUAAAGGCAGUGGAAACUACACAGCUAGAGUACGUUCGGGGCAGAGGGAAUUCCUGGUGUAGCGGUGAAAUGCGUAGAGAUCAGGAAGAACACCGGUGGCGAAAGCGCUCUGCUAGGCCGUAACUGACACUGAGGGACGAAAGCUAGGGGAGCGAAUGGGAUUAGAUACCCCAGUAGUCCUAGCCGUAAACGAUGGAUACUAGGUGUUGCUUGUAUCGACCCGAGCAGUACCGUAGCUAACGCGUUAAGUAUCCCGCCUGGGGAGUACGCAGGCAACUGUGAAACUCAAAGGAAUUGACGGGGGCCCGCACAAGCGGUGGAGUAUGUGGUUUAAUUCGAUGCAACGCGAAGAACCUUACCAGGGCUUGACAUGUCGCGAAUUCCGGGGAAACUCGGGAGUGCCUUCGGGAGCGCGAACACAGGUGGUGCAUGGCUGUCGUCAGCUCGUGUCGUGAGAUGUUGGGUUAAGUCCCGCAACGAGCGCAACCCUCGUUUUUAGUUGCCAUCAUUAAGUUGGGCACUCUAGAGAGACUGCCGGUGACAAACCGGAGGAAGGUGGGGAUGACGUCAAGUCAGCAUGCCCCUUACGUCCUGGGCUACACACGUACUACAAUGCUCCGGACAGAGGGCAGCGAGCAUGCGAAUGCAAGCUAAUCCCGUAAACCGGAGCUCAGUUCAGAUCGCAGGCUGCAACUCGCCUGCGUGAAGUUGGAAUCGCUAGUAAUUGCAGGUCAGCAUACUGCGGUGAAUUCGUUCCCGGGCCUUGUACACACCGCCCGUCACACCAUGGAAGCUGGUAGUGCCCGAAGUCAUUACCCCAACCUUCGGGAGGGGGAUGCCUAAG
Molecule: ribosomal RNA, 1028 nt
Filed under: Stigonema panniforme CBFS A-025
Lineage: Bacteria; Bacillati; Cyanobacteriota; Cyanophyceae; Nostocales; Stigonemataceae
Description: bacterial SSU rRNA
Rfam family: Bacterial small subunit ribosomal RNA
Source: RNAcentral